This 467-nucleotide ribosomal RNA is filed under the name uncultured bacterium. RNAcentral describes it as "partial 16S ribosomal RNA". The stretch from base 49 to 467 matches the Rfam family "Bacterial small subunit ribosomal RNA", at positions 35 to 506 of the family's 1533-position model. The record is from RNAcentral.
GGGGGGGGGGGGGGGGGGGGGGGGGGGGGGCGGGGGGGGGGGGAGGGGGCUGGUGUGGUGGGGUGCGCGGGUGGCGGACGGGGGGGUGACCCGUGAGUACCCUGCCCUGGACGUUGGGAUGACUUCCGGACGCUGUGGCUCCUACCGGGUAGGCGCUCCUGCUGCAUCGUGUUGUGUUGAACUUUUCGGCUGGUGGGGAUGUACUCGCGGCUUAUCCGCUUGUUGGUUUGUUAGUGGCGUACCAAGUCUUUGACGGGUAGCCGGCCUCACAGGGUGACGGGCCGCAUGGGGACUGAGAUACGGCCCAGACUCCUACGGGAGGCAGCAGUGGGGAAUAUUGCACAAUGGGCGGAAGCCUGAUGAAGCAACGCAGAGUGCGGGAUGAAGGCCUUCGGGUGGUAAACCGCUUUCGCCUGGGACGAAGCGUGAGUGACGGGAAUGGGUAAAGAAGCACCGGCUAACUACGU